CACGUAGGGCGCGAGCGUUGUCCGGAAUUAUUGGGCGUAAAGAGCUCGUAGGCGGCCUGUUGCGUCCGCUGUGAAAGCCCGGGGCUUAACCCCGGGUCUGCAGUGGAUACGGGCAGGCUAGAGGUAGGUAGGGGAGAAUGGAAUUCCUGGUGUAGCGGUGAAAUGCGCAGAUAUCAGGAGGAACACCGAUGGCGAAGGCAGGUCUCUGGGCCGAUACUGACGCUGAGGAGCGAAAGCGUGGGGAGCGAACAGG
RNAcentral lists this ribosomal RNA (253 nucleotides) under uncultured bacterium. RNAcentral's name for it is "partial 16S ribosomal RNA". It matches the Rfam family "Bacterial small subunit ribosomal RNA", at positions 524 to 776 of the family's 1533-position model. The record is from RNAcentral.